CCAGACUCCUACGGGAGGCAGCAGUGGGGAAUAUUGCACAAUGGGGGGAACCCUGAUGCAGCGACGCCGCGUGGGUGAAGAAGUCAUUCGUGACGUAAAGCUCUAUCAGCAGGGAAGAAAGUGACAGUACCUGACUAAGAAGCCCCGGCUAACUACGUGCCAGCAGCCGCGGUAAUACGUAGGGGGCAAGCGUUAUCCGGAUUCACUGGGCGUAAAGGGAGCGCAGGCGGCACGGCAAGUCUGGUGUGAAAACCCGGGGCUCAACCCCGGGACUGCAUUGGAAACUGCCGGGCUGGAGUGUCGGAGGGGUAAGCGGAAUUCCUAGUGUAGCGGUGAAAUGCGUAGAUAUUAGGAGGAACACCAGUGGCGAAGGCGGCUUACUGGACGAUGACUGACGCUGAGGCUCGAAAGCGUGGGGAGCAAACAGGAUUAGAUACCCCUGUAU
RNAcentral lists this ribosomal RNA (445 nucleotides) under uncultured bacterium. RNAcentral's name for it is "partial 16S ribosomal RNA". It matches the Rfam family "Bacterial small subunit ribosomal RNA", at positions 331 to 793 of the family's 1533-position model. The record is from RNAcentral.